Long non-coding RNA from Pseudoliparis swirei, 2211 nucleotides. RefSeq lists it as uncharacterized. NCBI's taxonomy places the organism in Eukaryota, Metazoa, Chordata, Actinopteri, Perciformes, Liparidae. The record is from RefSeq and is a predicted model, not a curated record. The transcript is spliced from 4 exons.
CUCAAUAACGUUUUGCCGUUCAUGUCCUGAGUAAACAUCGUCGUAUCUUCGCCAUAUUGUUCAUAUGUAUAUUCGUAGUUGAAUGUUAACUUUACGAAGCGUUUAAUGUAAGCUAGCUCGACCGUCAAAACAAACGAGUCACAAUGUUAAUGGCGGACAUCGUCGUGGCUGUCUCACUCGUGUGCAUUAACGCAGCACUACGUCACACAACGCUACUGUCACUGAGUUAAGAGUGAAUGCAAUGUUAGGUUGAAUGUAACUGUAAUGUAAUGGUACUACUUUAUAGACAUGCGGAGUGAUACGAAGGCAUGUGUGAUCAGAGGGGGGGCGUGUACAGUCGGCGGCCCGCUCUUGGAGUUACCCGAAUCCAGUCAGUCACGGUGUUAUGUAUGGUUAAGCUAAUAAAGAUACUUGGAGAUACAACGGGCUCAAAACCCUAUUAUUCCAUAACACUACAGUAACGAGGAAUAAUUCAACCACAACCGUAUGAUGGAGAACUUCUCGGCCACAGCGAAUGUGGUACAACGUUUUUUUAUUUUUUACUUGAACAUCAUUUCUUAUUUUGUGAUAUUUAAUGGAAAUGACAUCCAUUAUAACCAAUAGCAAGUUUGAAACUAAGCUCCCUGCCAACCUCCCUACAGACUAUUUAUGACUUCAAUCUAUCUAUCUAUCUAUAUCUAGGAUAAGCAUUUGUAAUCAUGUUUGUCUGUGAAAUCUUCCAUUAAACUGAUGGCUUUUUAGCCGUAAAAAUGCAUCUUUACGAGGAGUUAUUUGCAGUUUGACUAAUUGCUUUUGUUGUUUCUUUUGUAGGCUUUGAAAAACCUGGCAAUGAAUUAUUCUUCUGAGUUCUGUCGCUUAUCAAGCAAAAAUCUGAGUUGCAAUCAGAGUUCUUCAAAGAUCUCGACAAAUACACUCCUCGCUUCCUGGAGAAGUUCAAGACCCAGAGGGGGAAAGUGUCGGACAGAAACUUGAAUAUCUGCAACAAGUCACACCUGGGAGUACAGAUGUGACUGGGAGGUGAACAGCAGUCCUCCGUGGCUCUCCCGUCAUCCUUGGAGAUAACGCAGACUUCUUCAAGAAUUUGAGGUUCAGGAGCAGCCAAUAUGAUGCAGGUGUGACGGCUGAAGAUGGUAGGUACCUGUUCAGCCUCCUGUGGUAGGAGCACAUUUCCCAGAAGCAGCAGUGACAAAGAAAUGUGGAUGUUUACCACGAAUAUGGUUGGUUGCCCACGUAUUAAACGUUGGUCUUUCUUUAUUGAAGGUGUGAGUUUAGGAUGGCAUGAAGCUUCGACUUGACCCUAUGGAAACACAGCAGAAGCCACGAACGGGUCCUGAUCGGCGUGUGUUGUGAUGCAACUGCAUCGACCUGUUCUCAGGCCCUUCUACAUUCUGUUUUUUACAUUUGCUCUAUUAUUGUUGUUCCAUUCAAAUAUCCCUAUUUGUAAAUAUGAUAAUUCAUAUUCUUUAUUAUUAGCUUUUGCAAUCAUUCAGUGAAUCACAUGAUCAAUGAAUUAAUCAUCACACUCACUCCUGAGCAUCUUUCACUUGAUUAUCUAAUAAUAUCAGAAUCCAAGUAACCAUUGUGUGUUCUACCAUAGAAAUGCAACGUGAAAUUUGACAUGUAAUUGUGUUUUUUAUGCUGCUCUUGUUAUUAGGACUCUGAUGACCUUCUGGACGUGUCCCACGCCUCCAUUGGGACCCUGAUGGUGCUGAAGACAUCGUGGCCUCCUCACUCGCUGGACCUGGAGUCUACAACUACUGCCAUCGUUUUGGGAGGAACAGUCGUGAUGGGUGACCGUGAUAAUCUUCCCCGUGCCGUGUGGCUACUCUUCGGACUUAUUUACCCCUGAAUUUGGAGUAUCCUCAACGAGUGAGGAACACCUUCUGAAUUUAUUCAUAGAGUGCUUCUCACUUGGACCAAAAACCAUAAAAUUCAAUCACUCAAAUAUCUACUGAUGCCAUAAGGGACUGUGUUCAUGAUGUGCAGUCAGGCCCGAGAACUUCACCCUUCUAUCUCCAAUUGAACUCUUUUCUAGAAAAUGUCUGUUUUUGUUGUUUUUCUGUCAUGAAAUUUAGCAAAUGCCGAAAACGCUGUGUUCAUCAUAUUUCUGCAUUACAAAACCUAAUCUGGCAACAUGUUCAGCGUUUUAAGCACGUUGUUUGAGUUUUAAAACGUGUUUUUCUUCUAAAUAAACGUUGUCUUCCAUUGUAA